GCAAUCUUAAGCCACUAAAUCUCCCACCUAACAUUCUGCAUGAGAAACAACGUUUGGGCUGUUAAAACACACAGAGAGUUGGACGCUGUUAAAGUGGGUGAGACAGCAAGCCAGGUCCUGGGGGAGGACCAUAACUCAGUGGUAGAACAUCUGCCCUGCAUGUAGAAGGUCACAAGUUCAAUCCCCAUCAUCUCCAGGUAGGGCUGGGAGAGAUCUUUGUCUGAAACUCUGGGGAGAUGCUGUGUAGCCACUGCUGAUCUAGAUGGAUCAAUGGUCUAACACAAUAUAAGGCAGAUUUCCUAUGUUCUCCCCUUACAAUUCCGCAAUGUCUGCUUUAUAAAAAAUUUGGGCCAUUGCUCUCUGCAACCUUGCUACAGUGGAACCUCGGUUUUCGAACAUAAUCUGUUCUGGAAGUCUGUUCGACUUCCGAAAUAUUCGAAAACCGAGGAUCAAAGGACUGUCAGCAGGUUCAAUGGGGAAAAUUGAGAAACGCGCCUCAGAAGCCAUUCGACUUCUGACGCACAUUCAAAAAUGGAAGCAUUCACUUCCGGUUUUUUGGCAUUCGGCUUUCGAAACAUUUGGCAGCCAAGAUGUUCAAAAACCAAGGUUUGACUGUACUCUUUUUCUGUCCCUUCUCCUGUUCACUAAUCUGGCAUCUGUUAGUUGACUUUCAGGUAAUGACGCCAAUAGGUACUGCCUUCCCAUUGCAGAUGGCCAGCCGAUUGCAUCUUGGUUUGAACUAGGACCAUGAGGGACAAAGAAUUAAAACAACCCACCCAGCUCACAGUCCUAGCUUCCUUUCCCAUUACAAGCUUUUUUAUCUGUAUAUUAAAUAUUGCAUACCUGAGCUAAAGACAUCAAAAACAUUGCAUCUAGAUGCAAUACCUUGGCCAAUGGAAGUAAGGCUUGUGGUUGUAUGGAUAGAUAUUAAUCCGCAACAAGAGAAGUGGAUUCUCCUGUUUAAAUACUUUUCCUGGGUUAAUUCUCUGCUUUUUCCUGGACAUUUUCACCAAAACCUUUUGAACCAAUGGAAGGUGAACCCAGGUAAUGCAAGUAGCAGACGAAGGCCCCUUGACUGGGGCUACAGCAGAGAGCAAUGUGUUAAACCCCCUUGUUGCCUGCCAGGCACCUGAAAUUGAUCUCCCUGUGCCUGGGCUUUACUAUUGAAAUAUCAUUCAUGCAAUGAGUGAGUGGUGUCUAUUUUAGUUUGGUCCUAAGAUGUAGUUAGUUCAGGAGCAACUCAAGACUGCAAAGAAGUGAGCAAGAACCCUCAAACCCAGUUCUUCAACUCUGCAGCCGCACCCCCAGUCUUAGCUAGAACAUACAGUAGAACAUGAGACUCUUAAUCCCAGGGUUGUGGGUUCAAGCCCUAUAGUGGGUGAAAUUCCUGCAUUUCAGGGGGUUGAGCUAGAUAACCCCUGUUGCCUUUUCCAACUCUACCAUGCUAUGAUUCUAUACUCCCACCUGAAAUGCCUUCUAUAAACAGCAGCUAUAGGGGUAAUCACAGAAGAUAGGAGGUGGUUUCCUCGCCCCCAUAAUUUGAUCCCUGCUAUUAAUGAUCCAGUGUCCUAUUCAGGGCUCCAGCACAUUUGCUUUUUCCCCUGUUGCCUCCAAGGUUCUGCUGUUUUUAACAGCUUUAAGUAUAUUGUUUUUAUUCCUGUAAGCCAUGUUAUUGAUCCUAAAGCUGCAAAGGGAGAAUAUAAAUAUUUUUAAACAAGAUGCAUACACAGGAUGGUGCAGUGAGCGAUCUGUGUGCCAAGUGCAUGCAAUGGGCAGGCCUUUCCUUCAUCCAUCAGAAUGAUAUACAUUGCGCUAGUGGGCUUUAAAUAGCAACGAUCAUUGUGCCUCUUUCCCAAGGCCUCUGAAUUUCCCUGGGGUUUUUUCCCCUUUCCUACGUAGGAGCAAAUGUGAGAACACUGUCAAAUCAAUGCAACACAGUUUCCGUGAAGUGACACCAGUUACAGUUUUCAUCCAUACUACAUAUACCAUUGUCCUCCCUUCUGGGCACUGUCCCUCGGGACUUCACCUCCAGCUCUGUGCCCAGAACUUGCCAGUGGUACAGAUGUUAAAUCUUUGGUUCUGUUCGGCAUUGGCCCUAAGCUGAAUGCAGACACGUUGAAGUUUAUUUUAUCCUAGUUACGUGGGAGAGCAUUGCUUACAUGAAGGUAUUGCGAUGUCUGCCUUGGCACACAUUGUGAGAAAGAGGCCGAAGAAGGUCUGCUAUAGAGAUUCUGGGAGCUGAACUGGGAGCCUGGUGGGGCAAGGUCUUUCUGUAGAAAGCUGGCAUUUGUGGGCUAGGAAUUCCUGUACUUUAACAGUAGUAUGCAGGAAAAUCUUGUCCUGUUCUUGAUUCUGAUUAUACACAACCAGCUGGUCACACUUGUAUGGAUUUAAUGCAACCCCAGCAAAAUGAGACUACAAUACCAAAACUCAAUACUAAAUUCAGCAAGCAUUUACCUGAUCGCAAAAAGAAGUUUAAUUGCUUUCCCUUAAUAUGAUAUAACCAUAUGCAGGCAUAGAAUAGGAAUGCAAUGCCAUGAAUGCAAUGCAUUGUUUAAAAAAUAAAGCACCUUUAAAGCAAUAAUUUGUAAGUCAGAGAAUAUCAGAAGUGACUAUAGAAGUCAACUUGCUCCAAUGGACAGCCCUCAACAGUCUCCAUCCAUCCAGGACCUGAUGAACCCAGUUAACAUGCAACUUACAGCGGCGGGAAUCAGCCUUUGCUUUGUACAUUUUGCAAAUAUUCAGCAUCUGGACAAGGUGCUUUUGUACAGUGACAAACUCCCCUUCUCCCUUGUCUCCCAGAACCGGAAGAUGCAUGAAAAGGGCAGAGCAGAGGUUGGCUUCACGCAGGCAUUGCUUAGAAAAAGCCCUGGAGAGGAGGGGACUUAGAUAGCUGUGGGAACUUUCGGUCUCAGCAAUAGAUCCAUGGGGGCCUGACUAGUUAGCUAGAACACUGAACAGGAGCAUUCCACCAGGCAUGUUUCAGGUCCUACCUAAUAAAGCUAAUAACUGUUGAUUAGAAUUAGAACUCUUCUCCAUUACAUCUAAGCUGGUGGCUGUCAUCAUGUUAUUUUUCUCUUGUUCCUGUGUGAAAAAACUUUUUUCCCUCCUAAAUUGAUAAUCCCAAGUUCUGGUAUGGGGAGAGAUACAGCGGGUUGCAGUAGAGGUUCUCCAUAUUAGCUUUCUCAUGAGCAAACCUCUUAUAAUAUUAAUUAUUUUUUUUAUACCUUAUUAUCUUCAGGUCUGCAUUAAAUUACCCCCCCCCCCCAAAAAAUGCUUGUUGCAUACAAAAACAUACAGAUGCUGAAAAAGAAGUAAAAAUAGCAGAGUUGCAGAAUGAAAUAAUGACAGCAAACCAGUUUACCAAAGCACAAUCAUACUUCACUGAAUAUCAGAUAUAUUAAAAGAAGAAAAAUGGGGCAACCAAGACAUCACACCAUAUUUCAGAUGUGGGUGCACCCCAGAGUUAUUACAUAUAAACCAGAGCAAUUGUCUGUAACGGGAGAUGGCAUAUCCAUAGUAGCAAAGUUUAGCUGUUGAGGACCAGCUAAAUAUAUAUAUGACUCCCUCUAGUGACUGGAUCGAGUAAGCAUACCUUCACUGUUAUUUUCAAUGAAGACAUGAAGAAAUUUGUUUGCAGGGCUGUUCUGCAAUUUGUCACUGAUACAAUAAUAGUGCAUUAGUGGUAUAUUUAUACUGGGCUGUCCACACUUCAUUCUAUUUUAUUAGUUCUGUGAUGUUUCCCCAAUGUCCCUGUUCCAGACACCUGGAGGGAUGCUCUUGCACUGUAACACAACAAAAGCAAGAAAAUCCCACCAAUCUUGGGAACAUUUGUAAUCUGAAAAGCUACAUGAUUUCAGCAGGAAGUUAUAGGACACGCACUGAUUGGAAAUGAAGCAGUGUGUCUGCCUUGGAACUUUUGCACGUGCAAGUAGCAUCAUUAGCACAAUUCAUCAUGUUUAAUGAUGCCUCUGUUUAAUGAUGGUCCAAAGACUUGUCCCAAAGCAAAUAAAUCACAGAUGCACAGGAUCACAGCUCAGAUUCAUUAGUCUAGAACAACUACCGUGGCUGGUUUUAUAUUCAUAAUCAUUAAAAAUGUUACUGUGCUCUGGAUGACCUUGAAAACUUUUGUUGAUGGGCAGUAGGCAGUAAAUGAAUGAAUGAAUGAAUGAAUAAAAUUUAGAGCUGUCAGCACAUUAUAAAAAGUCAUUCAAAGAAAGCUGUACAAAAUUAAUAUCUGCAGUAACUGUAACAGAGGAUUAGACAAAUUCGUGGAGAUUAGGGCUAUCAGGUUCUCCCUCCACUGUCAGAGAUGGCAUGCCUCAGAAUAUCAGCCACCAGUAUAGAUAAUUCUGAAUAAGGUGGGCCAUUUGACAGGUCCAAGAGGGGUCUUCUUUUUAAGUUUCUAUGUCUUCUCUCCUGCUUACUUGUCAGACGGCUUCCCUGUGGCAGCAGUAUGUGCUCUAUUUAUAUUGAAAAAAUCUGUAAUGAAAGAUGCCAGGAAUGGUUAAUCUAUGUUUUUUAGUGUGGGGGGGUCCCCCCCAAUCUGUAAGCUGCCUUGAGUCCCACUAGGAUAAAGGCAAGGUAAAAAAGGUAAAGGUAACGGUAUCCCUGACCGUAAGGUCCAGUCGCGGAUGACUCGGGGGUUGCAGCGCUCAUCUGGCUCUACAGGCAGAGGGAGCUGGUGUUUGUCCACAGACAGCUUCUGGGUCAUAUGGCCAGCAUGACUAAGCCGCUUCUGGCGAACCAGAGCAGCACACGGAAAUGCCGUUUACCUUCCCACCGGAGUGGUACCUAUUUAUCUACUUGCCCUUUGAGGUGCUUUUGAACUGCUAGGUGGGCAGGAGCAGGGACCAAGCAAUGGGAGCUCACCCCAUUGCAGGAAUUCGAACCGCUGACCUUCCGAUCGGCAAGCCCUAGGCUCAGUGGUUUAGACCACAGCGCCACCCACGUCCCUUUAAAGGCAAGGUAUAAAUUAUGAUAAUAAUAAUGGAAGAGGUAUUUAAGCUCAAUGGCCAUGAGAACAGUUUCUGGGCUUGUCUUGUGAAUAUUAAACUUGCAAGGGAGUGCACAAAUUGACUAGACUAGAGAUCUGGGAACAGGCUUGAUUCAGUAUGCAUUUAAAGUCAAAUUUAUCUACUUCUCACUUCCUGAAACUUUCUGAUAUAUUUCCAUAGGAAUCUGGUUGGCCACAGUGAGAAAGAGGAUACAAGUCUAGAUGGGCCUUUAUUCUAAUCCAGCGGGGCUCUCCUUAUAUUUUUAUACAUGCAGUAUUUUUAGAUAUGUCAUGAGAAAGAAGCCAUUUCUCCAUUCCAUUUGCAAAUGAUCUUAUUUAAUAUGAAAACUGGCAAACUUGCGUGCUUCUGAACCCGAUGGAGACAGUUAAAUAAAAAUUGUUUUUGAUGGAUUUUAUAUAUUGCUUAUUCAGACAACAUUCAAGAAUCUCUGCACCACUGGCAGGACUUCCGGGACAGCGCCAUUGGCAAUGGCGGAGUUCCUCUGACAGAGAGGAACCCGCUCCAUGAAAAUCGGGUCUUGCCGCCGCGGCGAAGGCGGAGACCCUUUAAAAAUCCCAGGCAGAGGAAGCCUGGGAACGUGGCAUUCGGCUGACACCAGGAGCGACUCCCCUACUCGCAGGGAAACCCUUUUCCGGGGGUCCGAAGCGACAUGGGGUGAGUAGCGCGGUGUUUUGAAUCAACCACUACUUUUACGGAGUGAAGCCGCAAAGCCGUUGCCGGAGAGCGCUGACUUUCUCCUGUGGACAAUUGGACUCUAAACAAGUACCCGUGAGUAGAACGGAAAAUUGGAUUAAGUACUAAGAAAUAUUUUAAUUUGGCACUGAAACGGCAAGGUUCUAAACAGGAAGUCCGCCUCCCAUUUUUUGCAAAUAGAUUGAAGCAAAAACUUUGUAAGCUAAAGUCUGGAAAGUCGUAUAUAAAGUUCUAAAUUUCCUUCAUUCAUCACCACCAAAACCCCUCUUGGAAGCAGGAGAAAAGAGGGGGAUUUUUGACUGUUUAAGCCUGCAGGAGAGAGAGUAAAGAAAGAUAAAUUUUCCACCGUCUCAAACCUGGGAACGGGGUGUCAGAGACAGAAAUUUAUGGGGAAAGUUCAUCGACUGUGAACGUCUUUUGACAGAUAG
Podarcis lilfordi (Lilford's wall lizard) is the source of this 6139-nucleotide non-coding RNA. Lineage: Eukaryota; Metazoa; Chordata; Lepidosauria; Squamata; Lacertidae. The record is from the annotation of a GenBank genome assembly.